This 22-nucleotide microRNA is filed under the name Strongyloides ratti. RNAcentral's name for it is "str-miR-81b-3p". Its record names the gene str-miR-81b-3p. Lineage: Eukaryota; Metazoa; Nematoda; Chromadorea; Rhabditida; Strongyloididae. The record is from miRBase by way of RNAcentral.
UGAGAUCAUAUUAGACCCAUCU